CCCUGGAGUCCCGCCGUAAACGUGUCGAUUGGAGGCCGUCCCUUGAGGAGCGGUUCCGGAGCUAACGCGUUAAGUCGACCGCCUGGGGAGUACGGCCGCAAGGUUAAAACUCAAAUGAAUCGACGGGGGCCCGCACAAGCGGUGGAGCAUGUGGUUUAAUUCGAUGCAACGCGAAGAACCUUACCUACUCUUGACAUCCAGAGAACUUGGCAGAGAUGCCUAGGUGCCUUCGGGAACUCUGAGACAGGUGCUGCAUGGCUGUCGUCAGCUCGUGUUGUGAAAUGUUGGGUUAAGUCCCGCAACGAGCGCAACCCUUAUCCUUUGUUGCCAGCGAUUCGGUCGGGAACUCAAAGGAGACUGCCGGUGAUAAACCGGAGGAAGGUGGGGAUGACGUCAAGUCAUCAUGGCCCUUACGAGUAGGGCUACACACGUGCUACAAUGGCGCACACAAAGAGAAGCGACCUCGCGAGAGCAAGCGGACCUCAUAAAGUGCGUCGUAGUCCGGAUCGGAGUCUGCAACUCGACUCCGUGAAGUCGGAAUCGCUAGUAAUCGUGGAUCAGAAUGCCACGGUGAAUACGUUCCCGGGCCUUGUACACACCGCCCGUCACACCAUGGGGAGUGGGUUGCAAAAGAAGUAGGUAGCUUAACCUCCGGGAGGGCGCUUACCACUUUGUGAUUCAUGACUGGGGGUGAAGUCGUAACAAGGUAGCC
Molecule: ribosomal RNA, 712 nt
Filed under: uncultured bacterium
Lineage: Bacteria
Description: bacterial SSU rRNA
Rfam family: Bacterial small subunit ribosomal RNA
Source: RNAcentral